GAUGAACGCUGGCGGUAUGCUUAACACAUGCAAGUCGAACGGACUCUUCGGAGUUAGUGGCGGACGGGUGAGUAACGCGUGAGAAUCUGGCUUUGGGUUCGGGACAACCACUGGAAACGGUGGCUAAUACCGGAUGUGCCGAGAGGUAAAAGAGAAAUUGCCUGAAGAUGAGCUCGCGUCUGAUUAGCUAGUUGGUGAGGUAAAGGCUCACCAAGGCAGCGAUCAGUAGCUGGUCUGAGAGGAUGACCAGCCACACUGGGACUGAGACACGGCCCAGACUCCUACGGGAGGCAGCAGUGGGGAAUUUUCCGCCAUGGGCGAAAGCCUGACGGAGCAAUACCGCGUGAGGGAAGAAGGCUCUUGGGUUGUAAACCUCUUUUCUUAGGGAAGAACAAAAUGACGGUACCUAAGGAAUCAGCAUCGGCUAACUCCGUG
This 435-nucleotide ribosomal RNA is filed under the name uncultured bacterium. RNAcentral describes it as "partial 16S ribosomal RNA". It matches the Rfam family "Bacterial small subunit ribosomal RNA", at positions 28 to 507 of the family's 1533-position model. The record is from RNAcentral.